GACAGCAGCCAUAUCACCCUGCAACUCACAAGCUCAGCAGGUGUGAGUCUGGUCAGUACCUGGAUGGGAGACUUCCAGGGAAAAACUAAGGUUGCUGCUGGAA
Molecule: ribosomal RNA, 103 nt
Filed under: Lepisosteus oculatus (spotted gar)
Lineage: Eukaryota; Metazoa; Chordata; Actinopteri; Semionotiformes; Lepisosteidae
Source: RNAcentral